RNAcentral lists this ribosomal RNA (763 nucleotides) under uncultured Streptococcus sp. Its description in RNAcentral is "bacterial SSU rRNA". It matches the Rfam family "Bacterial small subunit ribosomal RNA", at positions 28 to 776 of the family's 1533-position model. The record is from RNAcentral. Lineage: Bacteria; Bacillati; Bacillota; Bacilli; Lactobacillales; Streptococcaceae.
GACGAACGCUGGCGGCGUGCCUAAUACAUGCAAGUAGAACGCUGAAGGAGGAGCUUGCUUCUCCGGAUGAGUUGCGAACGGGUGAGUAGCGCGUAGGUAACCUGCCUGGUAGCGGGGGAUAACUAUUGGAAACGAUAGCUAAUACCGCAUAACAGUAGAUGUUGCAUGACAUUUGCUUAAAAGGUGCAAUUGCAUCACUACCAGAUGGACCUGCGUUGUAUUAGCUAGUUGGUGGGGUAACGGCUCACCAAGGCGACGAUACAUAGCCGACCUGAGAGGGUGAUCGGCCACACUGGGACUGAGACACGGCCCAGACUCCUACGGGAGGCAGCAGUAGGGAAUCUUCGGCAAUGGACGGAAGUCUGACCGAGCAACGCCGCGUGAGUGAAGAAGGUUUUCGGAUCGUAAAGCUCUGUUGUAAGAGAAGAACGAGUGUGAGAGUGGAAAGUUCACACUGUGACGGUAUCUUACCAGAAAGGGACGGCUAACUACGUGCCAGCAGCCGCGGUAAUACGUAGGUCCCGAGCGUUGUCCGGAUUUAUUGGGCGUAAAGCGAGCGCAGGCGGUUAGAUAAGUCUGAAGUUAAAGGCUGUGGCUUAACCAUAGUACGCUUUGGAAACUGUUUAACUUGAGUGCAAGAGGGGAGAGUGGAAUUCCAUGUGUAGCGGUGAAAUGCGUAGAUAUAUGGAGGAACACCGGUGGCGAAAGCGGCUCUCUGGCUUGUAACUGACGCUGAGGCUCGAAAGCGUGGGGAGCAAACAGG